UACAGAGGUGGCAAGCGUUGUUCGGAAUUACUGGGCGUAAAGGGCGCGUAGGCGGCUUGGUCAGUCCCGUGUGAAAUCCCUCGGCUCAACUGAGGAACUGCACGGGAAACUGCCUGGCUUGAGUUCGGGAGAGGGAAGCGGAAUUCCGGGUGUAGCGGUGAAAUGCGUAGAUAUCUGAAGGAACAUCAGUGGCGAAAGCGACUUCCUGGACCAAUACUGACGCUCAUGUGCGAAAGCGUGGGGAGCAAACAGG
Molecule: ribosomal RNA, 253 nt
Filed under: uncultured bacterium
Lineage: Bacteria
Description: partial 16S ribosomal RNA
Rfam family: Bacterial small subunit ribosomal RNA
Source: RNAcentral